Molecule: long non-coding RNA, 225 nt
Organism: Fundulus heteroclitus (mummichog)
Lineage: Eukaryota; Metazoa; Chordata; Actinopteri; Cyprinodontiformes; Fundulidae
Exons: 3
Source: RefSeq, a predicted model, not a curated record
UAAAUUUUUUUGUUUGUUUGAAUUUUUGCAGUUUGCAGAGUGCUUAUUGGAAGAAAAGGACCUUGAUUUUUCAACUAACUUUGACGCUAUCAACGCUGUGAGAGUUGACAUUGCCACUACCUGUCUGCGCCAAUCAGAAUUACUGGACAACAUGUGCAGUCACUGUGGGAGUGCGGACACAGACGAUCCUCUGUGGAUUGCCUGUGACAGAUGCAACAGGUGGUA